Homo sapiens (human) is the source of this 1704-nucleotide long non-coding RNA. NCBI's taxonomy places the organism in Eukaryota, Metazoa, Chordata, Mammalia, Primates, Hominidae. The record is from Ensembl.
UAUUUGUUGAGGUCCAUCCAGGAGUCUGUCACAAAUAUCUACUUUUGCAUAAGUGAUUUUACUUUCCUUUAUCUUCACAGACAAGACUUGUGUCCAUGAAGAUCCAUCCAGGGAUGCUUAUCCCUAACAUGAGACUUCUGCCUUCCCCCAGCUUAUAGAUCUGUUCCUGACUGCUUCAGUCUCCAAGGCCAGCUGCCUCAAGAAAUAAUAUCCAUUUCCCUGUGGACCUCAUAAGUCAUACUCAGGGAAGAGAACCUCCCAGAGAACCACCCAAGGGGAACAGGCAGCAUGGGAAUUUCUAUAAGAUGCAGUCAGCGGUGGCUUUGGAGUGCCUUCAGAAUGACACUGCUAAAACUGACUGAUGCUCUGAAGAUGUUGGAACUUACAAGGAAACAGCAAGGCAGGUCUUGGUUUAUUUCUGCCCACAAUGAUCUUGGCCCUGUGUCUGAUGGGGCUUAGCCAUGUGACCCAAGAACCCAGCUUUGUGUUUUGGAGCAGGCAUUCAAUAAGAACUUGCUGGUGCAAGGUUUUUCUUGGGAUGACCUUCCAAAGGGCCAGGCGCCUGUGUGGAUUAUGGCUCAAAGGAGUCUGUGGGCAGCGGAAGAGAUGCUGCCUCCUGGCUUGGGCACUCCAGGGCAUGGUGGGCCUGUGUGAGUCCCAUUCACGGCCCUGGUCUCCUGAGCCUCUUUUAACAGCUGUCCCACCCACCAACCACCAGCAGCCCCCUCAGGAGUACACACCUUGGCUGAAGAAUGCUAACACAGCUGGCUGGAGGCCACGGGGCACCACUGGAAACGUUUCCUCCAAGUGCAUUUGGGGGCUCACUCAGUGCCUGGGCAACAGACUGACCCCAGUGGGGUCGCUGGAAGGGAAGGCAAGAGGCAGCCUCUUCUGGGGCCAGGAAGGAAAAUUAGGACAAUUUAUUAUUUCCCUGUUGCACUGAGUAAAUAGACUUCAAGAUAAAUUAUUGGUGCCUGCAGCCUCCUUGAUGCAAAACCCUUAAGUGAAAGCAGACUUUAAUGAACAUAUGCUAGCUUGCCCUCCCCUUCUCACUUCAAGUCUGCUAUUAACUUCCUACGCACUUGGGAACCUUUGGCUCUUGGCCUAUAUAAUAGAAGAAUAAUUAGAAUAAUUACUGGAGAAGGCUGGGUCAAAUUUCCAAGGAUCUUCUCUUAACUACUUGGUUAUCCUUAUUUUAUUUGCUUUUAAGAAAUUCAUAAAACUGACCAAACAUUGUUACUUUGCACCUAGAGGAUUUAUUUAUAUAAAAUAAAAUCAUUGCUUUGUAUCAUGACUCUAUCAUUGAAAAUAAUCACAGUAAUUAGUGACUGCUGUGCUAAUCAAGUGUAGAUGAAGUUUUCAUGCCAAUUUUUAUAUUUUGUGUUUCUAAGUCAGGCUUCCAUGGGAUUACCUGGAAGAUGGAACUCAGAUUAAUCCAACUCAUCUGAGUAGCUCGUGAGGACGUAGGAAUUUUGGCCACUUUCUCUGUUCUUCACUUAGUUGUUUUUAAAGGAGAGAAGCAAGAAAAAACUCAAAUCCAGAUGGAGGCUCCCUCACUGAGCCCAUGUUCCAUGGCAAGGGCCACAGGUGGGGAUACAGGUAUGAGGUAUGGGAGUGAUAUGGUUUGGCUGUGUCCUCACCCAAAUCUCAUCUUGAAUUCCCACGUGUUGUGGCAGGGACCUAGUGGGAGAUGACUGAAUCAUG